Molecule: long non-coding RNA, 1158 nt
Organism: Phyllopteryx taeniolatus (common seadragon)
Lineage: Eukaryota; Metazoa; Chordata; Actinopteri; Syngnathiformes; Syngnathidae
Exons: 3
Source: RefSeq, a predicted model, not a curated record
CACAGAUGUGACAGAUUUGUUCAGGUGUUGCAGUUUCUCUGCUAAGCUUUUUCCUCCCUCGCUCACCCUCCCUUUUGUUGUAGCAGGUAAAAGCCAAAUGCCUAGGGGCCAUAAAAGGCACUUGUGUGCUGCUUUUACAAAUAGCAGCGUGGCGUGGGUAAUUAUGUUGCAAAGUGUUGUUAAUGGAGAGGCGCUGGAAGUGAGGUGCAACCAGAUAGAGAAUUAAGAGUGUGAGAUCCACUGCAGCUAGCAUUUGGUGUGAAUUUUAAGUUUAAAUUGGGGUGUAUAAACUUUUUCUACCAAGGGCUGCAGACCGAAAAAUCAAAAGGAUUAAGGGCCACUUUGACAUUCUUCACCUUUAAAAUAUAUAACCCGGUAACCAAUCCACCAGUGUAGGUAAAGAUUGACAUAUUGUGUGUAUAUAUAGUCAACUUUUCAGGAUUUUGGAGUGGCCAGCGGCCAUGUAUGCUACCAGAUUGACCCCUGACCCCUGUACUGAGCAGCAACAGAAUCACAUCUCCACGUCUGAACCAAAACAAGAACAAUCUAACAAGUUAACCUCGACAUGAAGCAGAAGGAGGAGCAAACAAUCGCUCUUUGCUGUUGUGAUGGAAUGAUCUGUGAUUUUGCUGAUUUUGUUUAGAUUAGAUUUAGUUUUUGUUUUGUCAUGUCAUAUUUUCCCUUGUCAACGCCAUGGCUUGUCUUACUCGUUAGGUUUUUGUUUCCACCUGUUCUCGUCAGCCCCGUCUCUUGUGUUGACCAAUCAGCUGCUUGCAGCCACUCAUAUCUUGUCCAGGUGCUCCUCGUUGCCUGUCACUUUUCUUGUAUUUAGUUCCCUGUUUUCACUCACUCUGUGUUGGUGCAUUGUCAUCAUUUCUCAUGUCAUGUUUCUUUGUGUCUGGUUUGGUGUUGCUACAAAAGGACAAAAAUCAGGCUCCAACGGACAGUUAAGACUGCCAAGAGGUUCAUCAGUACUCGCCUACCCACUCUUGAGGACUUGGAUGCUGCAAAAACUAAAUAAAAGAUCAAACACUUCUACACUGUGAAAAACGUACCAUUUUCAUCAUGAAUGCCGCCGUCCGGAGUCCCGUGGCGUUGCAGCUCAUCCUCCGGGGCCUCUGGGUAAAUGACGGCUGUGUCCCCUUGCUGCAGCAUCUC